RNAcentral lists this ribosomal RNA (609 nucleotides) under Cautires indus. RNAcentral describes it as "partial 16S ribosomal RNA". It matches the Rfam family "Bacterial large subunit ribosomal RNA", at positions 1827 to 2716 of the family's 2925-position model. The record is from RNAcentral. Lineage: Eukaryota; Metazoa; Arthropoda; Insecta; Coleoptera; Lycidae.
CAUGUCCUUUUGAUUUUAAUUUAAGGUUUAACCUGCUCAAUGAUUUUCAAUAAAUAGCCGCAGUAUUUUGACUGUGCAAAGGUAGCAUAAUAAUUAGUUUCUUAAUUAGGAACUGGAAUGAAUGGUUGGACAAGAAAAUUACUGUCUCUUUUUUAAUGUUUUUGAAUUUUAUUUUUAAGUGAAAAAGCUUAAAUUUUUAUAAAAGACGAGAAGACCCUAUAGAGUUUAAUAUUGUUUUUUAAUAAGUAGUUAGAAAGUUUAUUUAGAAAAAAAAAUAUUUAGUUGGGGUGACCGAGAAAAAGAAAUAAUUUUUUUAAGUUUAAAUUGAUAAUUUUCAAUUUAAUAAUCUAAAAUUUUUAAAAUUAAAAUAAAUUACCUUAGGGAUAACAGCGUUAUUUUUCUUGGAAGUUCUUAUUCAAAGGAAAGUUUGCGACCUCGAUGUUGGAUUAAAAUUAAUUUUUGGUGCAAUAACUUAAAAAUUAGGUCUGUUCGACCUUUAAAAUUUUACAUGAUCUGAGUUUAAACCGGUGUGAGCCAGGUUGGAUUCUAUCUUUAAAUAUUUACUAUAUUUUAGUACGAAAGGACCAAAUAUUAAUUAUAAUUAAUUGU